Molecule: ribosomal RNA, 441 nt
Filed under: uncultured bacterium
Lineage: Bacteria
Description: partial 16S ribosomal RNA
Rfam family: Bacterial small subunit ribosomal RNA
Source: RNAcentral
CCUACGGGUGGCAGCAGUGGGGAAUAUUGGGCAAUGGGCGCAAGCCUGACCCAGCAACGCCGCGUGAGGGAUGAAGGUCUUCGGAGUGUAAAGCUCUGUCGCAGGGGACGAAAUAUGACGGUACCCUGUAAGAAAGCCCCGGCAAACUACGGGCCAGCAGCCGCGGUAAUACGUAGGGGGCUAGCGUUGUCCGGAAUUACUGGGCGUAAAGGGAGUGUAGACGGCUAGUCAAGUUAAGUGUGAAAGCCUGGGGCUUAACCGUAGAAUUGCACUUAAAACUGACUGGCUAGAGUGCAGGAGAGGUGAGUGGAAUGCAGGGUGUAGCGGUGGAAUGCGUAGAUAUUAGGAGGAACACCAGAGGCGAAGGCGGCUCACGGGACUGUAACUGACGUUGAGGCUCGAAAGCGUGGGGAGCAAACAGGAUUAGAUACCCGGGUAGUC